Molecule: ribosomal RNA, 432 nt
Filed under: uncultured bacterium
Lineage: Bacteria
Description: partial 16S ribosomal RNA
Rfam family: Bacterial small subunit ribosomal RNA
Source: RNAcentral
AACGAACGCUGGCGGCAUGCCUAACACAUGCAAGUCGAACGAGACCUUCGGGUCUAGUGGCGCACGGGUGCGUAACGCGUGGGAACCUGCCCUUAGGUUCGGAAUAACUCCCCGAAAGGGGUGCUAAUACCGGAUAAUGUCUUCGGACCAAAGAUUUAUCGCCUUUGGAUGGGCCCGCGUUGGAUUAGCUAGUUGGUAGGGUAAAAGCCUACCAAGGCGACGAUCCAUAGCUGGUCUGAGAGGAUGAUCAGCCACACUGGGACUGAGACACGGCCCAGACCCCUACGGGGGGCAGCAGUGGGGAAUAUUGGCCAAUGGGCGAAAGCCUGACCCAGCAAUGCCGGGGGAGUGAUGAAGGCCUUAGGGUUGUAAAGCUCUUUUCCCCGGGAUGAUAAUGACAGGACCGGGAGAAUAAGCCCCGGCUAACUCCGU